This 484-nucleotide ribosomal RNA is filed under the name uncultured bacterium. RNAcentral describes it as "partial 16S ribosomal RNA". It matches the Rfam family "Bacterial small subunit ribosomal RNA", at positions 30 to 507 of the family's 1533-position model. The record is from RNAcentral.
AUUGAACGCUGGCGGCAGGCCUAACACAUGCAAGUCGAGCGAAUGAGGGGGUUUUGCCCGUGGAUUCGGCGGCGACCGGGUGGGAAAUGCCUAGCACUCUGCCUGGUCGUGGGGGAUAACGUCCGAAAACGGGCGCUAAUCCCGCCUACGUCCUGAGGGCGAAGGUGGGGGAUCUUCGGACCUCACGCUAUCAGAUGAGCCUAGGUCGGAUUCGCUAGUUGGUGGGGUAAAGGCCUACCAAGGCGACGAUCCGUAACUGGUCUGAGAGGAUGAUCAGUCACACUGGAACUGAGACACGGUCCAGACUCCUACGGGAGGCAGCAGUGGGGAAUAUUAGGCGAUGGGCGAAAGCCUGAUCCAACCAUGCCGCGUGUGUGAAGAAGGUCUUCGGAUUGUAAAGCACUUUAAGUUGGGAGGAAGGGCAGUAAGUUAAGACCUUGCUGUUUUGACGUUACCAACAGAAUAAGCACCGGCUAACUUCGUG